UACGUAGGGAGCAAGCGUUGUUCGGAUUUACUGGGCGUAAAGGGCGCGUAGGCGGCGCGGUAAGUCACUUGUGAAAUCUCCGAGCUUAACUCGGAACGGUCAGCUGAUACUGAUCUGCUAGAGUGCGGAAGGGGCAAUCGGAAUUCUUGGUGUAGCGGUGAAAUGCGUAGAUAUCAAGAGGAACACCUGAGGUGAAGACGGGUUGCUGGGCCGACACUGACGCUGAGUGCGCGAAAGCCAGGGGAGCAAACGGG
Molecule: ribosomal RNA, 254 nt
Filed under: uncultured bacterium
Lineage: Bacteria
Description: partial 16S ribosomal RNA
Rfam family: Bacterial small subunit ribosomal RNA
Source: RNAcentral